UCGCGCCCCCUGGCGGCCAGCGGCGACAGUGCGCAGGGUCCGCCUACUGGUCGCGCGCCGCCGCCUCCGCCGCCGCUUGAGCCCAACAUGGCGAUGCACAACAAGACGGCGCCGCCGCAGAUCCCAGACACCCGGCGGGAGCUGGCCGAGCUGGUUAAGCGGAAGCAGGAGCUGGCGGAAACACUUGCAAACUUGGAGAGACAGAUAUAUGCUUUUGAAGGAAGCUACCUGGAAGACACUCAGAUGUAUGGCAAUAUUAUCCGUGGCUGGGAUCGGUAUUUGACCAAUCAAAAGAACUCCAAUAGCAAAAACGACCGGAGGAACCGGAAGUUCAAGGAGGCCGAACGGCUCUUCAGCAAAUCCUCAGUCACGUCGGCUGCUGCAGUAAGUGCCUUGGCAGGGGUUCAGGACCAGCUCAUCGAAAAGAGGGAACCAGGAAGUGGGACGGAAAGCGAUACUUCUCCAGACUUCCACAAUCAGGAAAACGAGCCUGCGCAGGAGGACCCCGAGGACCUAGACGGCUCCGUCCAGGGAGUGAAACCUCAGAAAGCCGCCUCUUCCACCUCCUCAGGAAGCCACCACAGCAGCCACAAAAAACGGAAGAAUAAAAACCGGCACAGUUCUCUGAGUACGCUGCCUUCAGAUACGGGGAAACACUUAAAGCUCCUCAGUGCGAGCAUCCCUCCCUCCGUAGGAACCUUCUGAGCACUGUUACUUUUGCAGUGGGAAGUGAGAUGGGAAUGACACCAGUGGACAGAGAGGUCAGGUGUCUCAGGGGACUUAGUGGCCGCUCUGCCUGGGUUUGUAUGCUACUGCUGGGCCUUAACUCAGAGGGGAAUAAGUACCUAAAGCAGGGCCCUCCCCAUCCUGGUGUUGGAAGCCUGAACACUGUGGGGUCAGAGGGGUGCGCAGGGCUGUGUGGGGCUGGCUCCCUAUCCUCUGGUUGGCUAACGAACUAUGUUGCUUUAGAAACCCGUGGGGUGUCCCCUCCUGCACCUAAGGUGUUACACUGUGAACUUCACAGACCCGGCACUGUGGAUAUUGUAGAAUUAAAUUUAACUGGUUUGAACCUCUUUGGCAUCAACAGAUUCUUGAAUUCUUUUAAACUUUUCUUGUUUUUUUUUUUUUUUUUUUUUGCUUUCUGUUUUUGUUUUUGUUUUUGUUUUAUUGCAGAAAUAGUGUUUUCUCCCUAUAAAUAGUGAUGAAGGAUUAUUGCUUUAUGGUUUUUCUGCAAACCUAAAACCACUGUGCUACCUCAAACUAUAGUGAGAAGCAACAAGACUUGUCCCCUCCCCCAUGGUGAGACUGUAGGUGAUUGGAGCACUGUGGCAGGCUUAGGGCCAGUUUAUCGCAGACAGCAAAGAGCCAUACUCUCUUUCUUUCUUUUUUAAAAGAGUUAUUUAUUUACUUAUGACUGCUCUAUCUUCAUGCACACCAGAAGAGGGAAUCAGAUCGCAUUACAGGUGGCUGUAAGCCGUGGUUGCUAGGACCUGAACUCAGGACUUCUGGAAUAAGCAGCCAGGGCUCUUAACUGCUGAGCCAUCUUCUCAGCCCAGAGAGCCAUACUCUUGAAGAGUAUUUUAUGGGUUGGGAGAUAGUUCAGUUUGUAAAGUGCUUUCCCUGCAGGCAUGAAGACCUGAGUUCUACUCCCAGCACCCACAUCAGAGCACUCAGUGAGUUGUAUGUGUACAUAAUACCAGCAUUAGGGACCAUGAGAUCUUGGGGGCUUGCCAGCUAGCCAGGCUAAAAGAAGUGAUGGGACCCUUUCUCAAAAACUAUAUGAAGGGACACCUGCAUCAAUCUCUGGCCUACACACGUGCAGACACACACACACACACACACACACACACACGCAUACACACAUACACUGACACAUGUAUAUAUACCUCACACACACACACACAGAGGGAAGAUAAUUAUUAAGUGUUUUUUAAGAUUUAUUUAUUAUUUAUGUGUAAGUACAUUGUAGGUGUCUUUAAACACACCAGUAGAGGGCGUCAGAUGUCAUUAUGGCUGGUUGUGAGCCACCAUGUGGUUGCUGGGAUUUGAACUCAGGACCUUUGGAAGAACCGUCGGUGCUCUUAACCGCUGAGCCAUCUCUCCAGCCCCUUAAGUGUUUUCUUGUAUGUUGAUUUUUUUUUUUAAUUACAUUUACUUUGUUUUCAUUUUGGUGAUUCUUUUCCUAUUUCAGAGUGUCUAGAGCAGGGAGAACAUUCUUGAAAGUCUCUCGGGACGCUGCACCCCUGACCAGUGUUCUCUUUAGACCCUGCUGGUUACGUGCGACACCCCUGACCAUUUGCACUAGUGAUGUGACCAGCUGCUGACUGACAAGAGGGUGCUAGAGAAGUGUUCAGUUUAACUUUGUCCUUGCAGGUUUCUAGAACAUUCCUACGAGCAUAACACUUCUUCCUUCUCCCCCAGGUGUGAAGCCCCUCCAGAAACACAGUAGCAUUUGAAAGACCAUCACUGGGCACUGCCCUCAUAAGAGGCGAGGCCUGCCCAGAAGGUGGACUGGGUUAUUAUAGUCAGAAUUCCUGUCCGUUCUGAUCUCCUCCCAGGCCUAAUGUGCUCACUUGCACCCCACCCCACCCCACCGCACCCCAAGAGACUGGUGCCACCAAAUUGCUCUUUCUGAGGAAGCGAGGGUCAGGACUGCCCUGGGUGGCACCUCAGUGGGCUCAGGUGGUUGGAGUCCUGUGACCUCUGCACACUCAAGGGCAGGGCAGGAGCACAUUUAUCUGGACGCGCUGGCGAGCCGCACCCAGAGCAAUGCUUUCUUUGCAGCAUGAGGCUGGUGUAGCCAGGCCGUGUUCACAGGACGCUCGUCAGCAAAUGGCUGACACUGUUGAGGAGAAACAGAAGGGAGCACUGGAAUUUACCCUCUUGUGGGGUAUGAAAGCUCACCAAGUGAUCCCCUUCCUGGGCUGGAGAUGGAACCCAGCUUCAUGUAUGCUAGUCACAUGCAGAUGAUAGGUUUCCUGAAUUCUUAUAUUUUACAUGUCUGAACGAUAGUUAAAGUCCCUCCACCCGAGAAGAAUAGUUAAGUCCCACUGUCUUUAAAGAGAAGGAAGUAAAUACUGACUGCUUGUAGAGCUCUUCACUUUUACCUUGCACCAAGAUUUGUUUUUGUAAGGUGUUGCUUAUCUGUUUUUAAGAGUUUUAUUCCAGAACCCUGGCUGGCCUCAAACUAAUUUCUUCUGCUUUAGCCCCUUGAAUGCUGGGAUUGUCAGGGAUUACCAUGCCUGCCACCAAUCCCCAGUUGAGCUAAAUAGGUACACUUUUAUUGACGUAUGCAUCUAUUGCCAACCCUGGAGGUUGAACGCAGCAUGUAACUACCAGUGAGCUCCACCGGCAGCGGAUGCUGUCUACUUUAGUUUGUGAAGGUUGAAUCAGUUUGAAAGGAACACGUUGUGAGAGUCCUGCUUGUGCACUGGUGUGUGUGUCUGUGUGUGUGUGCGUGCGUGUGUGUGUGUGUGUGUGUGUGUGUGUGUGUGUGUGUGCGCGCGCGCGCACGCACACGCGCGCCCAGGAAGGUCCUAAAUGAAACAGUGUAAGCAGUGCAUAAGCUCGGCUCCCGAGGCUCUCACAGACGUGGUCUGGCAGAGCAGCCACUGGAGUAUGGUCUUCCUGCCCGCCUGUAGGGUGAAAGGUGUCAGAGGCAUCAAGGCGCUGGAGUCACAGUCCAGGCUGAUGCUGAGAGAUCUGUGCAGAGCACGGCCUGUUGGCCAUGAGAGCACAGAAAUGGCCUGCUCUGCUGUGCGCUCACUCAUACAGCACAGAAGUGGCCUUUGUCUUGCUGGAGGCUCUGCAGACCCUGCUAUUCCUUAGUUGCUGCACUGAUAUAAACAGUUAGCUGCCAUACUAGGGAAGGUGUCACAUACCCGCAGUCACAGUGCACGAAGGCUGAGGCAGGAGGAUCACAAGUUUGAGGCCAGUGGGGGCUAUCUGUCAGGACUCUCCCCCCCCCCCCAUUAAAAAAAAACAAACCAAAAACCAAAAAAAACAGAAGGGGAAAAUGAAGAGUGAACUGUUCUGGCCAGUGCAGGCGCAGGCCACAUACCCGCAGAGUGUGAGAGAGCAGGGCUGUCUCUCUCAUGCCCUGCAGUGAGCACAUGGCUUCCGGGAGGAGCUGCCCGCACGUCCCAGGACAGGAGCUUGAACAAAAAGUUACAUGUUCGCUGUUUUCAAAGUGCAAAGUGUUGUCACCUUUUGUAUUAAUGACAAUAUGCUAUGCUGACUUCUAGCCCCUUCUGCUGUAUGACUAAGCCUCUCCCUUUCUCCCCUUUUCCCUUCCUCUCCCUCUCUCCCUCCCUCCCUCCCUCCCUCCCUCCCUCCCUCCCUCCCUCCCUCCCUCCCUUCUAAUGCACUAAUUCUGUUUUCAGUACAGAUAUCUCAGCAGUUCUAACCCCAAGUCUGGCAGUUAACACCAGGCCUGCUGCUGUCUAGAGUGCAGUCACAACCCCCACUCCCACCCCCACUCCCACCCCGCCCCCGCCUCACCCCCAGUCACCCUCUGCUCUGGUAUACACUGAGGGAAGGGACUCCCCUGACUGGCCUUUGGUGCUUUGAUGUUUGACAACUUAAUGACUUAAGAUUCUUAAAGCUGACUUUGUUUUCACAAAUCUUGCUGGGAUGGCUAAUCGACUCGUUUAUUCAAUUAGCAUAUUAAUUUCUAUUGCUCUCUUCCUCUCCAAUGCUGCCCCUCAGCCCGUCUGGCAUGUUUGAUUAUGACUUUGAGUAAGUUUGAUUUGAAUCAGUGUCUGUGCUGUGUUGUUUAGUGUAUAGACACCGGUAUGCCGUUGUGAGAUCUUUCUAACCCAUAGUUUAUCUGUUUAAUUGUAGGUAUGUAUAUUAGGUUAGGCUGGGAAGUUUUUUUUAAAAACAGAAAAACGUGAUGGAGGUAACAUUUUAUUUAAUAACUUAAGCAAAAUUAAGUAAACUUCACUUUUAUGCAUUUUAAUUUCUUUUAAAAUAGAUAACCUGUACUUUUAAUUCAUAUUUAAAUUGAUUUUCUGGCUUUGCUUUGUAAGGAGAUUAGUAGCUUAAGAUUUUGAUGUUUUGCUUGGAAAAGAUUCAAAAAUUGAAAUUCUUGUAAUUUCUUUUGUGUUUCAUAUCCAGAAACACAAAUUCCUAGUCUCUCCACUCCCAGUCACUGCGAGCCUCAGAUGCUGCCAGUGACGUGGGGACAGAGCUAACCCAUUGACCUGAGCAUGCCCUCUUGAUCCGUCUUCUCUAACUUUGCAAUAGUUUUUAUUUAAAAAUUAUGGCUUUUGUAACUGCUAUAUAUUUCCUUUUUGAAUCACCUCAGUUUACUUUAUGGCAAAAAAUCUGCUCCUGUUUUUUUAAUACUUGCUUACUAUCCGAGAGAGAGCUAAAUGAUGGCAGUGUAAUGAAGAAUCUGGGCUUAACUGAGUAGCCUGUGUUAUAGCUGUGCCCUAUGCAGUAGCUGCUUGUUGUCCCGGUUCUAUAAGCUAAAGUGCAAAUGUCUGUUUUGUUUUGUUUUUUUGCCACAGGAUUGAUCUGAAGUUAAACAAAAAGCCCCGAGCUGACUAUUAGAAGACUUGCUGGCAGAAGCUUCCAGGCUGUGAAGCUUCCCCUCUGACCUCACAGCCACAAAUGUCCCUUGCCUGACUGUGGCCAUCUGCCUCUGCCCCCCAGACCCAGUGCCUGUGACUGGCUAGUCUGACCUAACUGUAGUGACAAGUCCUCCCUAUAAGACUUUUUGGGUCAUUCGCUGCUGUCGUCAUCAUUAGUAGAACAGCGGGAAGACCUGUCCUCCGUCCCAGUCCCUGCGGGUGGCUAACUGUGCAUUUCUCCCUUCUUAGAAUGAAUGUCUCCCCCCAAACUGGCUGGCACCAGCUCCAUCUGUGACACCCCCGCCCCCAUCGAGAAGUGCACACACCUCUGAUUCUGUGUUAAGCUGAAAGUAGAACCCAAGGUCCAUUGCAGAUGGAGGCUGUAAAUAUCUGCCAUUCUCUUGUUUUGUUUUGUGUUGUAUUGUUUUUUUAUUGUUGCUUUUACCAUCUGAUUUUCUUUUGGGACAUUUUGUGAUGCCUGUACCUUCCUGAUGACACAUCUGAUCGUCUGUUUCAUGUGGUGUCGAUAUUCAUAACUGAAACUAAAGUGGCUUUUAGAAGGAAAUGGGCAGCUGCCUCUUUGGCUUCUUGAUUUCUUCAGGGGGAAGGGAGAGAGUGUUUUCACGGUGGAUGGCCUAUCAGGAACAGUUUUAUGUGGGAGGAACAAGAAGCUAAACAGCACACGUUGAAACCCUCCCAUUGGAGUAGACUCUUUGUAGGAAUAAAAUCUCCCUGGCUCGCC
This is an RNA transcript of Mus musculus (house mouse), 6318 nucleotides long. It is a transcript of the gene named MYST/Esa1-associated factor 6, with no coding region annotated. Lineage: Eukaryota; Metazoa; Chordata; Mammalia; Rodentia; Muridae. The transcript is spliced from 7 exons. The record is from RefSeq and is marked validated.